GGUUUGGUUGUGCAGAUCUAAAGGAGUGCAGAGAGAGAGAGAGAGAGGGUCGAAAUGGCCGUGAGCAUUGUUCUCUCUCACAUCUCGGCUCUGCUGGUGGCAGUUCUCGUCCUCCUGUGGGCGCUCGCCUUCCGCACCACCAUCUUUCUGCGCUUCUAUUCCUCAUCCGUCGACGGCGGCGCCACCGCCACCGCCACCGCCGUUGCGCCCUUCGACCACAUAUACUUUGUCCUCCACACUCUCCUCAUGGUCAUCGGCUUCAUCCUCUUCGGCGGCGAAGGUAUACUGGCGCACAGGUGGGGGGUGGGCUUGGGUUGGGCACGGGGCCCGAGGAAGGCAGCGCACCUCUGGCUGCAGGGGGCGGCUCUGGGUUUCGGCGUCGCCGGGGUGUGGACCAAGUUCAAGGGCAACAAGGGGGUCCUCGCCAACUUCCACAGCCUGCACUCCUGGAUGGGUCUGCUCUGCCUUCUCCUCUUCGCCGCCCAGUGGACAAUGGGGUUCCUCAGCUUCUGGACCAGGGGAGAGGGACGACGGGCAAGAACAUUGUUGCUGCCGUGGCACAUCUUCAUUGGCAUCUUCACCUACAGUUUGGCUGUAGCUACGGCAGAGUCUGGCCUCAUGGAGAAGAUGGCCUUCCUUCACACCAAACAUGGCAUCCCAGGGUCCUCCUUGGAGUUCACCCUCAUCAAUGUUCUUGGCCUCACUCUCGCCAUCCACUGUGGGCUUGUUGUCUUCACUUUAAUCCCUGCGAAGCACAAGGAGAGCAGCACCAGUACCAUGAUGAUGGGUCUUGGGGAUCGAUUUUUAUGUCUUGAAGUUCUUUAAGCAAAUCACAGUAAUGAACAAGGACUUACAAUGUCAAUGUUCACGUUGUUUGCAUCCUUUUCAAUGUUCAAUAUGGAAUCUAUUCUUGGUUUUGGAAUCCACAGCCAAAAUCUAGAGGCAACAGGUUCUUAUUCUGCCCAACCCACUUGAAAGUUAAAGGUAGAGGGAAAGGUGAAGUGUGGAUUCCUUCCUUGAGACCUGUUCAAUUCUUUUGACUCUUAUCCCAAACUCAUUGGAGUCAGAGAAGCUCCUGCAUCUGGACCAAGAACACCCAAGCAACAACAAGGAUCGGCUAUGGUGUGAGUGGUGUUCAACGCUUGUCGCUGUAGAUGGCCUACCGAAUCCUAGAAUGAAGCACAGAAAGGGAGCAAAAAAGUGAGGAAGAACAAGAUCAAUGAAUUUUGACCGUGUUUCUGAUUCCAUCCAUCAAGCUGCCCACCGUGAUGGUGAAGACCUUUGAAUGAGUGAUCUGCUCAUGAUAAAACUUAACAGAAGGAGAGCGAGUUGCUGCUCAUCAUCAUUCAUGUAGUCUCGCAGUUUGACUGGUGCAAUGCUGAUACUGCAUGUUCAAAUACUGAUUUCACUGAAAUCAACUUGAAUAGCUCUUCUUUCUUUUUGAGAUAAGAAUCUGAAUAAAGAAUUUAUUCAGAUCUUUCUGUUCAGUGGAUUUGGUUAAAUACUGACAAAUAUAAGUGUAUGUUCAAAAGAGUUCAUUUUG
Musa acuminata subsp. malaccensis (wild Malaysian banana) is the source of this 1543-nucleotide non-coding RNA. NCBI's taxonomy places the organism in Eukaryota, Viridiplantae, Streptophyta, Magnoliopsida, Zingiberales, Musaceae. The record is from RefSeq and is a predicted model, not a curated record.